GUCAAAUUCACACAAGAAUUUCUCCAUUUGCAGCUCUAUAUAUCACAAGGUCUCUGUCACGUUUAAUCUAUGGAGAAACCAUGCAACUCAUUAACAAAGCAUCUAUGCAAAUAAAAAGAAUCAAGCGUUUACAGAACUACUUACACUGUUUAGAUCUAAAAUUUUCAGAGUCAAGAAGUGCCAAUAUUAGUUUCUCUAGCCUCUUAGAACUUACAGUUGGUUUAACAGCAUUUGGACUCCCAUAUGCAACACAAGGAUCUUUGCCUAAAACAGUAUUGCCCACACACCAUCCGCCUGGAGUAAACCGCCCAUCCGAUCUCCUCAAAAGUUUUUCAUCAAUUUUGUUGAGAACUGGAUCAUCCUUAGCAAAUUCUCGAGCAAAAGGGGCACCACUUUCAACCAUUUCUUCAAAAUGUUCCAAAGCUAGAGAUAUUGGACGUUGCUUUGGAGGGUUAUCCCACUUUAUGUAAUGCAAGUCAUUAUUUACAGUAGUGUUUUGAUAAUCCUUGUGAUUGCACACAAGGGUAUGGAAAUAACCCUCUGGUGAUGACAGGAAAUUUGCAUAGUACAUGAGGAGAGUGCGGGGAAGAUUAUCCCAUCCCCAAACACAGAAUUCAAGAAAUGACCUUGUCAGCACCACCCAUUCAGAUCCUGAAAGAAGAUAAUAUUGUAGUCCAAGAUUAUAGGUAAAGCAUAACCGAAGCAUGCACUAUCUAUUUAUAAAAUACACAAAAUAAGCAAAAACAGUUUCAGUCAACACAAACUGUUCAGUUUAUAUUGUCUAUGCUUUGGUUGGUAUACACAAUAACAUAGAAAUAUAUAGAAUAGCUUAUUUUAUUUCUAUUAGUAUGAAAUCAAUAAAGUCACAAUCUCAACUUGGCUUUCAGAUGUGGAAUAGUUACUACAUAGAGUAAAUAUUCCACAAAUUUAUAGAAGAAGAAUUUCACACAUAAGUGAAGAAUUGCCAUUACAUAGUAAUAGAAUAACUAUUCUGCUUCUACUGUAUUCGAUUUUGCAAACCAAAUGAAACCUAAGCAAUUUUGUUUCAAAUUUAAUAACAGAAAUAAAUACAACACCAAGUAAGAAAAAAAUAGAUCAUCAUUGUGAAGUAGUUCUUACAAUCAAACUAGCAUAUAGUCAUGCAGGCAUAGGAUCUGUCAUUUUUAAGAUAUCAUGAACUCUAAUAGCCACAUGGAAAAACUGAAAUAUUUCUUUUUGAGGUAGUUUAUGCCCUACACUAAAUUGAGUUUGACAAGUAUAGGAAACUCCUCUCAUGCUUUUUAACUUAUAAUAAAUGAAGCAAUGUAAUCUCUUGAACGGAGAGGGAGAUUUAGUUGCAUAGCCAGUGUCAAAAGUGAAGUUCUUUUCAUUUGACAUAACUUGCUUUUGGUUUUGACCAAUAAUCCAUGAUCCACUAACAUAUCUAACAAAGUAUUAGAAAAACAGGAAUGGCAUCUUCCUUAAACUACAUUAACCAUCCCCAUGCAUCAACUUCCCAUUUAAGAAAUGCAGCCUAUUUAACUGAAAUGUUUUACCAACUCAACAUAAGCUACUAACAAACUUGAACUGUCUGAUAGAUGAUUCCAUAAAUUCAAAUAGAAAGAUAUGAAGAGAAUAUAAAACAUUCAUAAUACAGCUCUGAAAAUUAUUAGAAUAAGAGAACCACAAUGGAAAAAUCAAAUUAGAAAAGUGAAGAUAAGUGAUUUUGUGAUAUAAAGCUGAUGUGAAAGCAGUACCCAUAAAUAGCUUGAAAGAAGCAGGCAAGGACCUUUUCUCCUUGGCCCAAAAUACACCGGAUUUCUUAGAAUGAUAUAAUCCUGGAUCUAUAAUUAUAGGCCUUGCUCUUUGAUGCUCUUUCCAACCAAUAGUACUUGUGUGCUCAAGGAAAUUCAGAUCCCUAGGCAAGUAUGAGAAAAUAUGCAAGAUAUCUGAAACAAAAAGCGGACAGAUGGUCAGUCAAACAAUAUGAUUAUUUUCUGAAGUCAAAAGGAAUAUCAUAUGCAAGUAUCUGAAAUAAAUAUCUAGAGUUCUGCGCACUUGUAACAAAAUCCUGUAUCAAGGAAUAUAUUAAAGGCUUAUUUUCAAAGGAUUUUAAUGCCAAAAUAGUUAUUCAAGAAUCCUGUUUGGAGCCCAGAUGCAGGGAUCCUUUUAGAAUUACCAAACUGAGAUUAAUCACCCUUAAAGAAAAAUAAGCAUGCCAUUUAACAUGCUAAAACAGGUCACUAACAUCAAUACUUAACAUCAUCCUCACAGUCUCGAGUUGCACUCCAUGGAGAAGGCCAACAGCUUUUUUUCAAUUUUCAUUCUUCUGUUUUCGUUCAAUGGUGGGACUUCAAUAAAUUCUUACUCUAUGUCCUAGCAAUUCAAAACUGCGACCUCCAGCUCCAAGUCUGAAUCUCAAGUUUUAACUUCUCUGUUGACUGUUAUUUCCUUCAAGACUCUACUUUUACUAUUUAAAACCUUAGUUUCAUAGUUUUCCAGUAUUACACUAUCUGCUCUAUAGAAAUUGCUCUCAAAUGUAUAUCAGUUAUAAGAUGGUUUACAUUCCUCUGGCCAACCUAACAUUUAAAACAUUCAAAUUCUAGGUGUUAUGAAUUGCAAAUUACCAUUUAUUCUACACCCCUUUUUUUCAUUUCUUUCCCCACCUCACAAACACAAAAUUAAGCUGCCCAAUGAUCAGCAUUGGUUAAAAAAAAAAAUUUCAGGCUCUUGUGCCCAAUUCUCAAUUAGCAAAGUCUUAACCCAACUCCUAGAAAUCUGAAUUGCACAUUACCUUAUCUAGCAUUUAGAGCCAUGAUAUCACCUACAGAUUAUAGUAGAAUUCGCUAAAUAUAAAUCCCAUUUUCCAUGAACGCACCUGCCUACCAUCUUGACGCAUUAGAGGAUAAUCCGACGCGCUCAAAUUAACAAACCAAUCCCAAUCGCCGGCCUGCUUCAACAAAAUCGCAAUCGCAUGAAGCGUGCUAGCAAUCAUAGUUGGUCCUUUAUAAGUCACUAAAUCGGCCUUACCAAUCACCAUCACAUUCCCAAACAACCCAAUCACACCCUCCGAUUUCACAUACUUCGCAAGCUCCAGCCUCUCAGCAUCCGAUGCUUCAAGAUCGAGAUGCAGCAGAUAAUAAUUUCUCGGAUGAUACACCGCCUGAAGAAGUCGCUUCACUCGAGCAUUGUCGCCUUUGGUGCCGGAAAUCAAGUACGCGAAUCUCGGCAGUUUCGGAAGCCCAAAUUGGGCACCGAAAUUCCGAUGAGUAAAGCUAGAUUUCGGUUGAUUCGAAGAAUGACCAGCGAGGAUAGGUGAUUUAGAGUAGGCAAUCGUAAGAAUAAGUAAGAGAGAGGGUACGGCGAGUAUGAUUAAUGGCAUUAGACAUCUUCUUGGAUCCAGAGAGUAAGCUUUCAUCUUCAUUUGAAGAUGAAAGCAACGAAAAAUCGGGGGGCUUGUGAGAGUGGUGUGGUGGUGGGUUUUCGGUUGGUGAAUCCGUGUCGGCUUUGUCGGUUGAAGAUGAGUUCAGGUGGGUGAGGUUGUAGAGGGAAACCCAGAGCGUCUUUGAAUUUUU
Molecule: unclassified non-coding RNA, 3554 nt
Filed under: Hevea brasiliensis (rubber tree)
Lineage: Eukaryota; Viridiplantae; Streptophyta; Magnoliopsida; Malpighiales; Euphorbiaceae
Source: RNAcentral